This 488-nucleotide unclassified non-coding RNA is filed under the name Hevea brasiliensis (rubber tree). The record is from RNAcentral. Lineage: Eukaryota; Viridiplantae; Streptophyta; Magnoliopsida; Malpighiales; Euphorbiaceae.
AUGGAUCAAAUUUUGGUUCAUGCCAUGGUUGGGUUAUCACUUCUGGAUGAGUACUUUCACAAUGGUUCAUCAUACUGCUCCGCACAUUCCUUUCAAAACUUCAGAUGAAUGGAAUGUUAGUCAAGCCCAGAUUGGUGGGACAGUCCAUUGCAAUUAUCCUCGCUGGAUAGAGAUUCUAUGUCAUGAUAUCAACGUUCACAUUCCACACCACAUUUCUCCGAGGAUACCGAGCUACAAUCUUCGGGCAGCACAUAAUUCUCUCCAAGAGAACUGGGGCAAGUAUCUCAACGAAGCCAAUUGGAAUUGGCGUCUGAUGAAGACUAUACUUACCAUGUGCCAUGUGUACGAUAAGGAGCAAAACUACGUUCCUUUCGAUGAAAUUGCUCCGAAGGAUUCAUAUCCAAUCACAUUCUUGAAGGAGGUCAUGCCUGAUCGCGCAUGACUUUGUAGACCCAUCUGAUUUGUUCUUUGAUUAUUUACAUUUUUUG